GAUGAACGCUGGCGGCGUGCCUAAUACAUGCAAGUCGAGCGAACGGACGAGAAGCUUGCUUCUCUGAUGUUAGCGGCGGACGGGUGAGUAACACGUGGAUAACCUACCUAUAAGACUGGGAUAACUUCGGGAGACCGGAGCUAAUACCGGAUAAUAUUUUGAACCGCAUGGUUCAAAAGUGAAAGACGGUCUUGCUGUCACUUAUAGAUGGAUCCGCGCUGCAUUAACUAGUUGGUAAGGUAACGGCUUACCAAGGCAACGAUGCAUAGCCGACCUGAGAGGGUGAUCGGCCACACUGGAACUGAGACACGGUCCAGACUCCUACGGGAGGCAGCAGUAGGGAAUCUUCCGCAAUGGGCGAAAGCCUGACGGAGCAACGCCGCGUGAGUGAUGAAGGUCUUCGGAUCGUAAAACUCUGUUAUUAGGGAAGAACAUAUGUGUAAGUAACUGUGCACAUCUUGACGGUACCUAAUCAGAAAGCCACGGCUAACUACGUGCCAGCAGCCGCGGUAAUACGUAGGUGGCAAGCGUUAUCCGGAAUUAUUGGGCGUAAAGCGCGCGUAGGCGGUUUUUUAAGUCUGAUGUGAAAGCCCACGGCUCAACCGUGGAGGGUCAUUGGAAACUGGAAAACUUGAGUGCAGAAGAGGAAAGUGGAAUUCCAUGUGUAGCGGUGAAAUGCGCAGAGAUAUGGAGGAACACCAGUGGCGAAGGCGACUUUCUGGUCUGUAACUGACGCUGAUGUGCGAAAGCGUGGGGAUCAAACAGGAUUAGAUACCCUGGUAGUCCACGCCGUAAACGAUGAGUGCUAAGUGUUAGGGGGUUUCCGCCCCUUAGUGCUGCAGCUAACGCAUUAAGCACUCCGCCUGGGGAGUACGACCGCAAGGUUGAAACUCAAAGGAAUUGACGGGGACCCGCACAAGCGGUGGAGCAUGUGGUUUAAUUCGAAGCAACGCGAAGAACCUUACCAAAUCUUGACAUCCUUUGACAACUCUAGAGAUAGAGCCUUCCCCUUCGGGGGGCAAAGUGACAGGUGGUGCAUGGUUGUCGUCAGCUCGUGUCGUGAGAUGUUGGGUUAAGUCCCGCAACGAGCGCAACCCUUAAGCUUAGUUGCCAUCAUUAAGUUGGGCACUCUAAGUUGACUGCCGGUGACAAACCGGAGGAAGGUGGGGAUGACGUCAAAUCAUCAUGCCCCUUAUGAUUUGGGCUACACACGUGCUACAAUGGGCAAUACAAAGGGCAGCGAGACCGCGAGGUCAAGCAAAUCCCAUAAAGUUGUUCUCAGUUCGGAUUGUAGUCUGCAACUCGACUACAUGAAGCUGGAAUCGCUAGUAAUCGUAGAUCAGCAUGCUACGGUGAAUACGUUCCCGGGUCU
This 1372-nucleotide ribosomal RNA is filed under the name uncultured bacterium. Its description in RNAcentral is "bacterial SSU rRNA". It matches the Rfam family "Bacterial small subunit ribosomal RNA", at positions 28 to 1381 of the family's 1533-position model. The record is from RNAcentral.